This 407-nucleotide ribosomal RNA is filed under the name uncultured bacterium. RNAcentral's name for it is "partial 16S ribosomal RNA". It matches the Rfam family "Bacterial small subunit ribosomal RNA", at positions 30 to 526 of the family's 1533-position model. The record is from RNAcentral.
AUUGAACGCUGGCGGCAGGCCUAACACAUGCAAGUCGAGCGGAGCUGCGGACGGGUGAGUAAUGCCUAGGAAUCUGCCUGGUAGUGGGGGAUAACGUCCGGAAACGGGCGCUCAUACCGCAUACUAUCAGAUGAGCCUAGGUCGGAUUAGCUGGUUGGUGGGGUAAAGGCACACCAAGGCGACGAUCCUUAACUGGUCUGAGAGGAUGAUCAGUCAUACGUGAACUGAGAAACGGUCCAGACUACUAGGGGAGGCAGAAGUGGGGAAGAUUGGACAAUGGGCGAAAGCCUGAUCCAGCCAUGCCGCGGGUGUGAAGAAGGUCUUCGGAUUGUAAAGCACUUUAAGUUGGGAGGCGUUACCAACAGAAUAAGCACCGGCUAACUUCGUGCCAGCAGCCGCGGUAAUAC